RNAcentral lists this ribosomal RNA (429 nucleotides) under Chloroflexota bacterium. RNAcentral's name for it is "Chloroflexi bacterium partial 16S ribosomal RNA". It matches the Rfam family "Bacterial small subunit ribosomal RNA", at positions 355 to 776 of the family's 1533-position model. The record is from RNAcentral. Lineage: Bacteria; Bacillati; Chloroflexota.
UGGGGAAUAUUGCACAAUGGGCGCAAGCCUGAUGCAGCCAUGCCGCGUGUGUGAAGAAGGCCUUCGGGUUGUAAAGCACUUUCAGCGGGGAGGAAGGCGAUAAGGUUAAUAACCUCAUCGAUUGACGUUACCCGCAGAAGAAGCACCGGCUAACUCCGAGCCAGCAGCCGCGGUAAUACGGAGGGUGCAAGCGUUAAUCGGAAUUACUGGGCGUAAAGCGCACGCAGGCGGUCUGUCAAGUCGGAUGUGAAAUCCCCGGGCUCAACCUGGGAACUGCAUUCGAAACUGGCAGGCUAGAGUCUUGUAGCGGGGGAUAGAAUUCCAGGUGUAGCGGUGAAAUGCGUAGAGCUCUGGAGGACUACCGGUGGCGAAGGCGGCCCCCUGGACAAAGACUGACGCUCAGGUGCGAAAGCGUGGGGAGCAAACAGG